UCAAGCAGCCAUAUCACCCUGCAACUCACAACUGGCAACCCACUGAACAUAAGCAGGUGUGAGCCUGGUCAGUACCUGGAUGGGAGACCUCCUGGGAAAAACUAAGGUUGCUGCUGGAA
Molecule: ribosomal RNA, 119 nt
Organism: Lepisosteus oculatus (spotted gar)
Lineage: Eukaryota; Metazoa; Chordata; Actinopteri; Semionotiformes; Lepisosteidae
Source: Ensembl